GUCUCAUCAUUGUCAUUAUCUUGAGUGAAAUUAUUAAUUGUAUCUAUAAUUUGCUGCUUCACCCAAUCAUUCUUUUAAGAUGAGAUUGUUUAGUUUCCAAUUACUUUUUGGUCUAUUUCCUAACUUUUGUUGAAUGUAGUUUUUAUUGCAUCAUGAUCUGAAAAGAAAGCAUUUACUAUUUCUUCUUUUUUGCAUUUAAUUUUGAGUCUUUAUGUCCUAAUAUAUGGUCAGUUUUGAAUAGGUUCCAUGAACUGCUGAGAAGAAAGCAUAUUCCUUUUUAUCCAUUCAAUUUUUCCAAAGAUCUAACAUACUAAUUUUCUAAUAUUCUAUUUACUUCUUUAAUUUCUUUCUUAUUUGUUUUGUGGUUUGAUUUGUCUAAUUUGAGGUGCAGAUUGGAGAUCUCCCACUAUUACAGUUUUUUUGGUCUAUUUCUUCUUGCAACUCUCUUAACUUCUCCUUUAGGAAGUUGGAUGCCAUACCACUUGGUGCAUAUAUGUUUAAUAUUGAUAUUACUUCGUUGUUUAUGCUACCCUUUAGCAGGAUGUAGUUUCCUUCCUUAUCUCUUUUAAUUAGAUCAAUUUUUUUCUUUUGCUUGAUCUGAGAUAAGGAUGGCUACCCCUGCUUUUUUUACUUCACCUGAAGCAUAAUAGAUUUUGCUCCAGCCUUUUACCUUUACUCUGUAUGUAUCUCCCUGUUUUAAAUGUGUUUCUUGUAAACAACAUAUUGUAGGGUUCUGACUUUUGAUCCAGUCUGCUAUCUGCCUCCUCUUUAUGGGGAGUUCAUCCAUUCAUUUGGUUAGAAUUAUUAAAUCUGUAUUUCCUGCCAUCCUAAUAACCCCAGCUUAUGCUUUACUUUUUCUUGCCUCCCCCAACCCUCUUUCCCCUUUUUGAACUUAUGUACCCCACUUGUAUCACAAUGAUUACCCUCUUUGAAUCCUCCUCCCCUUUGAAUCUUUUCCUUCCUUCUUAUUACUCUUUUUCUUUUCCCUUUUCCUCUCCCCUUUUUAAUGAGGCAAGAGAGGUUCUCUAAAAAAUGUCAAUUAUUUUUCUUUGAGCUACUCUGAUGAGAGUAAGAUUCACACAAUGUUCCUCUCCUCUCUAAAUUCCUCAGAUAUGAUAAGUUUCCUUUGCCUCUUUGUGGGAUGUGGUUUCCCUCUUUUUAUCCCUCCUUCCCACCUUAUUCUGCCAUCAUCCCUUUUCCAUGUCUACUUCCCUUUUUUAUGUUAUAUCAGUAAAAUCAAAUUAUACAUGUAUUUUUUUUUGUAUAUCCACAACAGAAAUACAAUUCUCAAGAGUUAUUUUUACCUUUUCUGCAUCUCUUGUGUUCUAUGGUUGGAGAUCAAAUUUUUGUUUAGUUCUGGUUUUUCUAGAAACAAAUGGAAUUCAUUUGUUUCAUUAAAUGUCCAUCUUCUUCCCUGGAAGAAAAUGCUCAGCUUAGCUGGGUAGUUUAUUCUUGGCUGCAUCCCAAGUUCUUUUGCCUUUCGGAAUAUCAGAUUCCUGGCCCUUCGAUCCUUUAAUGUGGAGGCAUCCAGAUCUUGGAUGAUCCUUAUUUUGGCACCUCGGUAUUAAAAUUUUUUUUUUUUUUGGCUGCUUGUAAAAUUUUUUUCCUUAAUCUGAUAGUUCUGAAAUUUGGCCACAAUAUUCCUUGGGGUUUUUAUUUUAGGGUUUCUUUCAGAAGGUGUUCGAUGAAUUCUUUCAAUGACUAUUUUACCUUCUGAUUCUGUUACAUCUGGGCAGUUCUCUUUGAUGAUUUCUUGUAAAAUAGUAUCUAGGCUCUUUUUUUCCUCAUAGUUUUCAGAAAGUCCAAUAAUCCUCAGAUUCUCUCUCCUAGAUCUAUUUUCCAAGUCUGUCGUUUUUGCAAGUAGAUAAUUCAUGUUUUUUUCCAGUUUGUCAUUUUUUUUUGUUUUUGCUUGACUGAUUCUUGGUGUCUCAGUGAAUCAUUAGUUUCUAUUUGUUCAGUUCUAAUUCUUAAAGAAUUAUUUUCUUCAUUAGCUUUUUUUACUUCUUUCUGUAUAUGUCCAAUUGAGUUUUUAAAUGUAUUGUUUUGGUUUGUGGCAUUUUUUUCCAUUUCACUAAUUUUUUUUUUUUAGUGAAUUAUUUUCUUUUUCCAAUUCAUAGAUCCUACUUUCUUGCGAGUUCUUUGUCUUUUCCAAUUCACAAAUCCUACUUUCUAGUGAAUUCUUUAUUUUUUCCAAUUCACAAUUCUUACUUUCCUGAGAUUUUUUUUACUUUUUCCAAUUCGUAUUUCAGGAAGUUGUUGCUCUCUUGUAAGGCUUCUCUUUCCUUUCCCCAUUUAUCUUCUAACUCUCUUUUGAGACUUUUAAUGGUCUCUUCUAUGAGAGCAUCAUGUAAAAGAGGACAGUUUGGUGCAUGUUUGCUAUUUGCUGUCUCUUCAUGUUUGCUGACCUGUUCUUUUUCUGCCUAGAAACUGUCAAUCAUUCUUUUUAUCUUAUUAUUCAUGUUUUAAAGCCUUUAGGGUAUGCCUCCUAGGCAAGGUAGUUACCAGCUUCCUCUGCAGAACAGGAGAGAUGUAAACCAGUUUCUGGCUCUAAGGUAUGGGAAUGCUCUGAGCGAGAGUUUUCCCUUCCCCCAACAGGAGGUGGAUUCAGCACUGGCUGAGCUAUCCAAGUGCCCAGUUGGGCUAUGUGGGUUAGCGAUUGCCCUAGGCUAGAGACUAAGGGGUGAAAGUGUCACUGCCCCAGGCCAGAGCCUCUUGUGGGGCUGUGGGUAUUAGCAGCUGAUGGCAGACCUCCAAUUCUACUGGAACUCUGCCCGGAACUCUGCCCAACAAAUAGGCCCUGGGAAAGCUCUAUGGCCCCAAGCCGAGCCCCCCACUGCACAGAUUAGAGGCUAACCUGGGCUGUGCCCUCCUGCCGUGCAGGUUGGCAACUGCCCCAAGGAAAAGCCCUGUACUGUGGGUUGGGGCUGAAAACUUGUGCUGAGAUCUAUGCUUUCACUUUUGGUUUGAGGCUCUACUUGGAACCUAAUUUCUCUCCCAGUCUACGCUGAUCUCCCCCCUAGCCCUGGAACAAACCUUUUUUGGCAAGACUGCGGAUUUUCUUCAGCUGAUAUGGAGACUGAAGCACAAGGAAAGAAAAUGAACUGGCCCAGAGAGCCACAGAACUGGGAUAGGAAUACAGGGAUGCCAGAUGAAAUGAACCUCAGUGACGUCAAGCAAAUCCAUCAAACAGAUGGUGGAAGCACUUUAGACUCAAGUGGAGCAGGCCGCUCAGCAAUGACUGUUCAUAUGACAUUUACUCUGAUUAGUGUGGCAACAUUCAUAUUCAGUCUUUGGUAACAGAAUAAUUCUGGCUCAAUUCAUGUGUCUUGCUGCUAUCGUCAUUCCCCUCCCUCCCUUCAUAAGCCCAGAAUAAUAAAUCUGUUGAAUGUAGAAAUUAUAUGUAUGGUAGUAGUUAUCUUAUUAACCUCUUAGAUACCAUAUUUGAAUAUUCAAAAAGUAUCUGAUUAUUGCCUUGCUUUAAAAUAGGAAGGUUAUCUUUAAAUUUUAAAAAAAUCAUUUUUUUUUGGUUUGGGGAAUAGACAACAUGAAAAAUAUAGCACAUCCCUCCUGCAAAUGUAAACAGCAUGAAACUGUUUUAAACUAAAAUAAUAUGUUGUAUAUUUUAAAAUAUAUAUUUUAAGAUUCUUGUUUUCUGAAGGAAAGCCCUAGUAAAUUUGAAUUAUAAAGUUUGUAAAACAAUGGAACAUUUCAUAUCAACCACUAAAAUAAUAAAAAUUCAAAUCCCACUAUGUUAUGCACAUAUUUCCAAUUAUUCUGCUAACAAUCACACUGGCUACUUUAUGUUUCUUGUAAGUCAUAUAAGGAAGGGUAAACCUGGGCUGAAAAAUGACAUUUCAUAUUGUUACAUGAUGAAAUUUAGUUGAUUUUUAUCCAUUCCAAUUUAGCUAUUAAUAGUUCUUAUAAAUGGUUGUUAUGGUUGUGACUGACUCAUAUUCCAUUACACCAUAAGUUUGUCUUGAGUAUCCUUGUACAUUCAUCUUUCCCUUGCUUGCCUAAUAGAUUUAGGUAUUCUAUAUACCAUAUACAGACUACACCUUAGGAGUAUAUCUACUCAACUGAUUGACUUUUAUGUGGAAAAAUACUUUAAGGAAUAUCAGUCAUUUUUUUGGCCAAAUAAUACAUAAGUCAUUCAUACUUCAAAAAGUAACCCAGAAUAUUGUUAGAUUUUUUAAGCCCUAAACUUCCGAUAAAGUUGAGCAUCAAUGAAUUUCUAAGAUGACUCUGAUUAGCCAAAGAAAACAUAAUUAUUAACAGUAUAAAAAACUUGGACAUUAAAUUUAUACCUUUUCUUUUCCCAGUAUAUUAGGAAAGUUGCUGAUCUGCAGUCCCUGAUUUCCCAGUUCCCAGUCCCAGUAUGCUGAUGUCUCAGCAUACAAUGAUUAGGUUAAGUUUAUGACACUAUAUAAAGAGGAAGAGAUAAGUCAGAUUUUAUUAAGGAAUAUCGCAUUCAGUCAAUGGCCAAUGAUUAUAAUUAAUGUGAAUUGUCGUCCUAAUAAAGAGAAGUGCUGAGCCUCUUUUUAUAAUGACUUGAAAGGACAUGGAACGACCUCUGAUGAAACAGCUAAAGAGGACUCAGUCAACAGCAAAAAGCACUAAAGUAAAAGUUGUUUCCAACAUAGGGAACAGUCUAUCAAUAAAGCAUGUUCUUUCCAAAAUCUAUACUAAAUUAGAAUCACACACACGUGCCCAUGCACACACACACACACACACACACAUUAUUCUUGCUGAAAAUAUUUUUGGAUCAUCUCUUUUGAGUUUGCCUUCAGAUUCUAGGAUACAUUCUCUGGCAAAGCCCUCCUAUAGAAGGACAACCAAUUCUACUUUGGGGUGAAAAGAUCAGACUCCCUAUAUACUCAUGGAUUUAAUAGAUCAGACUGUUACCUCUCUUGUAAGUUAAAUGUUGGAAGAAACAGAAAGAGGAUGAUAUUGAUAAGUUAAAUUAAGUGGAAUUGAUAAAGGCAAUAAGAGAUAGAACUGCUUGUAGAUUAGGGACUCCUAACACCUAUAGUAGGAAGUAAUAAAUAGAUCAGGUUCUGGGAAAAAAUUUUAAGAAGAGUUUAAGACUACUAGAAAUACCAGGAAAUUACCAGAUAAUAUUCUUAUGACCCUCUCUGGAUAAAGAAGGAGGCAAUAACAUUUCACAAAGCUUUCUUUUAUUUUUCUCCUUAAAAUUUCAAUAUUGAUUAAGAAUAUAUCAGUCAACUGAAUUCAGUUGAUAUAAGUAACUGUGUAUGUACAUAUAUGUAAGCAUAUAUAGAGUAGUUCUUUGGAAUAAUAUAAAUUACAUUAAUUGUCAGUUGGCAUCUUUGGCUUUGUGAGGACAUAGACACAAUUCUAUUCAUUUUGUCAAAAUGGCUUCGCAUUAUUUGCACAAGGAUUGCUCUGUUCAUUUUUUAAAAUAUCCUUUUAUACAUCCAGUUUCCCCCAACAAAUGCUAAUCUCUAUAUAGUAGCUUUAUAGCAAUGAAUAAGACGAGAAUAUCUUUAAAGAGCAAAAAUCUUUCAGAUGUUCCAACAAUGGGCCUUUAUCAAAUAGAAUUCACUAUAAUUAUAUAUAUAUGUAUAUAUACAUAUAUAUAUAUAUGCAAAACAUAAUAGUAGACAGUUUCUUAGAGAUGAUAAUAGUAAGAAUUUGCUGUAUUUACCCCCAACCAAUGGCCAAUGACAUAUAUCCUGAGUUAAAAAUCUAAACUCCUAAAUAAAUAAUUCAUAAAUAUGUGAAGUUAAAAUGUUAAUUUGUCUAUGGGAAUGUGUUUCAUAUGCCAAUAUCAUCAACCCAGCGUAUUCUCAACCAUAUCAGAAACCAAUUGACAGGAUGGUUUUUAAAUUUUAAACAGACAAAAAUGAAAUUUAUGUUUCCAUCUUAUGCAAGAACUUUCAUCUUCACCCUUCAAGAUAACAUUUCAAUUCUCUAAGCAAUAGCUUUGCUGCAGGCAAUAUGAAAAUUUUCAAACAUAUAUCUGUCCUUUUAAAAAUACAACUAUAAAAAAACAAAAAAAUGCAAAUAAAGAAAACUAAUAAUCUAUAUUACUCAUGACAAUGAGACAGUUUCUCUUGUGUCUAUUUCCCUUAGAGGAAUAAAAAAUUCUAUGAGGAUUGUCAACAGAUCCCAAAAAGAAAUUGGCAAGCAAAGAAUAUUAUGUGUGGAUCUGGACAUAAAAAUCACCUAAGAGACAUUUCAUGGCCUAUUCUUUUCACAGAAGGCAAUCUAGUUGAGAAAAGAUCAUUAGUGUUGUUCUUUACUCUCCCAAAAGGAAAAUAUAUACAUAUAUAUAUAUAUAUAGCUAUUCAAAACAAAAUGCUCAAAUUUUCUAAUAUUCUGUGUAAUAAUUGAGAUCUAUUAUUCAAUAAUUUUCAUAACAAAAAUUUCUUAACAGAUAUUGUAAUGUUUCUUUUAAUGUACUAUUUAAUUUACAGGAACCAGUCAAGAUUAAAGUUUUUUUGUUUUUUUGUUUUUUAUGUUUCACAUGUAAAACAAGUUUCCUGGUAUUUUGAGUGAAAUUCACUAAAACAGACAGAGAUAUUCAUGCUUAUUUUGGUCCAUAGGCAAUGAUAACCUAUAAAGUUGUGCAGGUUGAUUAAAAUCACAAAAUUUUAUGUUUAAGGCUGUUAUGAUGUAGACGAUAUCAAGUUUUUCUUUCAAUACUGCAUAAUGUACAUCCAUCAUUGUUAAUAAAAACAGUAUGGAGAAAAUAGAACUCUGAGGUGUGCUUUCUUUGGAUAUAGAUAAAUACCUUUUUGUAAUUGAACACUGAAGGAGAAUUGCUUU
RNAcentral lists this long non-coding RNA (6789 nucleotides) under Sarcophilus harrisii (Tasmanian devil). RNAcentral's name for it is "lncRNA (ENSSHAG00000027612.1)". Lineage: Eukaryota; Metazoa; Chordata; Mammalia; Dasyuromorphia; Dasyuridae. The record is from RNAcentral.